UACGUAGGGGGCUAGCGUUGUCCGGAAUCAUUGGGCGUAAAGCGCGUGUAGGCGGCUCGGUAAGUCCGCUCUGAAAGUCCAGGGCUCAACCCUGGGAUGCGGGUGGAUACUGCCGGGCUCGAGUCCGGAAGAGGCGAGUGGAAUUCCCGGUGUAGGCGGUGAAAUGCGCAGAUAUCGGGAGGAACACCAAUGGCGAAGGCAGCUCGCUGGGACGUGACUGACGCUGAGACGCCGAAAGCGUGGGGAGCAAACAGGG
RNAcentral lists this ribosomal RNA (256 nucleotides) under uncultured bacterium. Its description in RNAcentral is "partial 16S ribosomal RNA". It matches the Rfam family "Bacterial small subunit ribosomal RNA", at positions 524 to 777 of the family's 1533-position model. The record is from RNAcentral.